GGACUGGCCGGCCGGUGAUGUCCGACCGACCCGCUGCGCGUCGGUGAGUAGGCAGGUGGGGACGAUGAGGUCUUCUUCCAGGACCACCCCGCGCGACUGGAAAGGAGGAGGGGAGGUGAAGAGUAAUAGGGCCGGCCUCCAUUUUCGGCGCCACUGCACGAGAAGAUGCGUCCGCUGCACCUCUACUUUGACCAAGAAGGGCGGUGGUACUGCAGCUAAGGUGGUUGGUUGUGUGUCGAGUGUUUUGCCAUCCGGUGCCAAGGCCCUUCAUGGAAGGGCUUGCAGCUCUGAGGCUGACUUACAAGAAUGUUCCUACUUGGUGCAGAGAGUUGUGUAGGGUGUGUGAGUCUGUGAGAGCAAACAAGUCACAUUCCACAAGACGGAGAACCUGCAGUGCUACGAAGUCUCUGCCAAGAGAAACUACAACUUUGAGAAGCCCUUCCCUUACCUUGCAAGGAAGUUUGCCGGAUAAUUUUCUUCGCUCGUCAAUGGCUCCAAUAACGUCCAGAGGGAGCUUGGCUUGUGAGUCCGUUCUGCCCUCCGGAGCAAGUAGGGGUCAUCUUUAUUGCAACCCACCUGGGAGAAGUAGGCAUUGUCUCUCUCAUGAUGUGGUGCGAAUUGUCGGGCGAGACAAUGGUACAAAGGUUAACGUUAUGUUGGGUGGGAUUCAUGUAAACAUGUGUCAGCUAUUGCUCGGAUUGUUCCUCGAUGUGCUCCGCGGAGAAACCCAGGACUACCGGUGCUUCACGUGUAUAAAGGGUUCAAAAUCUCGUCUAAUACCUCAGGGAUUUGAUUGGAGCGCAAGGUCGGCUGAUAGAGGUAUUCAGAGAGUGACCACCUGUAAGAGACGAAAGCGUCAAAAUCGAUGAGAAGAUGGAAUUGGUGAGCUGCAAUAUGCCGGAAGGCAGUCCUUUCUCGUGCUUUUGAUGACAGAUGCUCGAAAGUGUUCUAUGCCGCAAGGCAUUCUCCUCUGAAAAUUGAGGAUCUAGUAGUCUGAACAGUAUGGAGGUUGAAUCUACACAUUUGGAAUGCAAGCUUGAGCCUCUGGUUCAUCUGCCUUGAAGUCAAAGCCGGUCGCCUGGAGAUGCAGCUCCAACCUGAUGCCGAACACCACUCCAGGGUAUCUGCAAUUUUGGUGAGGACAACUCCAGCCUCGGCGCCAAGUGCGGCUUGUUCUGCCUCGUCCUCACCAGCAAGACGAUGAUUCGUAGGAAUGUGAAGGUCAGGCGAGGCGAUAAGCCUUGUUUGACUGGUGGUAGCCGGACACGGCGUUGGAGUGGUACAUGGAGCUGCCAGCAGGUCGUCGUGGAGAUCAUGUAGGAGGGAGAGAGCUGGAGCAUACUGCUCUGUUGCAACAGCAGCGGCAAGGGGAAAACUAGAGCUGGUAGCUGGCCAGGAGGGAGGAGACCUAGAUCCGACAUGGUUUUCUUACAUGAGUCGAUGUGCUUGAUAACCUCGGGACGACAUGGUGAUUUUUGUGAUCUGUGUUUGUUAGGCCCUCUAGCGGACUGGCUAUGCGGUCCGUUGAUGGCGGUGCUGCUGCUCCUGGCCUUGUGGAGGCCUCCCGGCUGCACAUGUGGCUGUAGGCUUCGGUGGCCCUGGGUUUGACCUCCUCGUCGUGGCAGCCGUGUGUCUCAGCCUUGGUUACAAGAUCUCUCUGGAGUCCGGUGGCGACCCAAGUUUGAAUUAUGGUGUUGAUAUUCACCUGAUCACAUGUCGUGCAGGUAGGUGAAUAAUGGGUGAGGCGCCAAGCCUUGUUUGACUUGUGGUAGUAGGAGGGGGAGAGGUGGACGCCAUGCUGCCCUGGUGCAACAACAACGGCAAGGGGAGAACUGGAGUUGGUAGCCAGCCUGGAGGGAGGAGACUUGGAUCCGACAUGGUUUUCUUAGAUUAGUUGAUGUGCCUCUUGUGAUCUGGGCAGUUUAGAUAUAUAUUGGCAAGCAAGUGUAGUAGUAGCACUUGAGGUGAUGUGCAAGUAUGUCUAGUUGCUAGUUUGUGUGUUCUUCUCGAAUGGCAGCUAAGCUUUGCUAUAUCAAUAUGUAUUAGUUAGUGUGAACACAUACAUCCAUCGGUCAGAGGAUCUUAUGAAUCUUGCUACUGUCCGAUUUUUGUUUUUGUUCCAACCUGAAGCUGAAAGAGUA
Molecule: non-coding RNA, 2141 nt
Organism: Lolium perenne
Lineage: Eukaryota; Viridiplantae; Streptophyta; Magnoliopsida; Poales; Poaceae
Source: RefSeq, a predicted model, not a curated record